Molecule: small RNA, 399 nt
Filed under: Histoplasma capsulatum
Lineage: Eukaryota; Fungi; Ascomycota; Eurotiomycetes; Onygenales; Ajellomycetaceae
Also listed under: 1 other name
Description: hypothetical RNA
Source: RNAcentral
CUGCAGCGUGAUCAUUGAAAGCAUGGCUUCUGUUGGCUCGACCUCUUUGCAUGAGGAAAUUGAUAGAUGCCAGCCAGCCUCAAACAAAUGAUUGCAUCUUCAGGACAAGAAAGUAUACUUGAGUGGGGAACUCGCGCCAAGUAGUUAUUUAGUCUGGAAAUGGCCAGGUUUAUCUUGAGGCUGUCGGUCAAGUUGAAAUUCGUUUCCCUCAUACAGAAGAUCAGUUAUCCCAUAUUCCCUCAUAAGGUAAGGACGUGAUGCCGCAAUCCUCAGCAAUAGCAGUGGUGAGACCGUUGUCCUUCUCACCUGUUGAGUUCGUCAGCUCAAUAGAAGGGGAAGAGCCGGGCUGAAGCGUUUGAUUAUUUCAGGUCGAUAACGGGAUUUAUUUUGAAAGUGGGG